RNAcentral lists this ribosomal RNA (530 nucleotides) under uncultured bacterium. Its description in RNAcentral is "partial 16S ribosomal RNA". The record is from RNAcentral.
GGAGUUAGCCGGUGCUUCUUCUGCGAGUAACGUCACAGAUGUAAGGUAUUAACUUACACCCUUUCCUCCUCGCUGAAAGUGCUUUACAACCCGAAGGCCUUCUUCACACACGCGGCAUGGCUGCAUCAGGGUUUCCCCCAUUGUGCAAUAUUCCCCACUGCUGCCUCCCGUAGGAGUCUGGGCCGUGUCUCAGUCCCAGUGUGGCUGAUCAUCCUCUCAGACCAGCUAGGGAUCGUCGCCUAGGUGAGCCUUUACCUCACCUACUAGCUAAUCCCACCUGGGCUUAUCCAUCAGCGCAAGGCCCGAAGGUCCCCUGCUUUCCCCCGUAGGGCGUAUGCGGUAUUAGCAGUCGUUUCCAACUGUUAUCCCCCACAAAUGGGCAAAUUCCCAGGCAUUACUCACCCGUCCGCCGCUCGUCAUCUUCAAAAGCAAGCUUUUGAAAUGUUACCGCUCGACUUGCAUGUGUUAGGCCUGCCGCCAGCGUUCAAUCUGAGCCAGUNACACACUNAGAGAGCGGCGCGCGACGACGC